UGGGCAAAAAGACACUAUCUACCAUAAAAACCUGGCAGCUUCAUGCAAGGGCUGUUGCUUUUAAUUUAAAUGCUCAUUUCUUAUUCUAUUUUCAGAUCCUCUCUGGGAUUUUAGGAAUGUUGAGACGUGCUGGUUAUAAAGCCCUAAGUACAAAAUGGUCACGGAUGGCUGGAAUGAGGCAUGUUCUAAUGGAAACAAAUCACUUGUCAGGAUCACUCUUACUGGCUUGGCCGGGGAAGGAAGAUGGCAGCUCUGGUGCGAUGCAGUCGUUUGAAUGGGCGAGAAAUAGAGGAAUUGUCUCAGUGAACUACAUCUGCAAUCAGUGCGCUGCAACGGCAAGUAGAAGAGCAUGACUGACUGACCUCGUUAGUACAGUGGUGCUAAUUAACACUUGAUGAUUCGCAUAGUAAAACCUCGUGUAUUUCAUGUCCAUCCUCUGCUCUUUGUGCACUUACGUCUUUGAAGUUUGAUGUUAAUAGUGAAUAGCUGCGAGUCCAAGCAGUUUAUAUGCCUGCUCAAUAAUUUAUAUCUCGGUUGGCUUUGGUCAGCUCAUCCCUGCUCCAGAGAACCAGGAAAGUGAGGAUGCCUGAAACACCCUGAUCCUGCUCAACUGGCGAACGGCUAGAAAAGACAUUUUAAAUAGCGGGCAGUCUCCCUUGCUGAAUAACGGCAAGGAGCGCAACAGCAGGAAGAGACAGGGCCUAUCCUUCUACUCUGUCCUGCCUUCCUAACCAUGAAUUUGCAUGAUGGAAAAGAGGAAGGGCGCUUUUCUUAGUAAGGGGCAGGAACUCCACCUAAUCCCCUUUCUUCAGAAUUUAGGGGAUAAAACAUCACUCUAAUACACCCAGUGACUGCACCCUGGGUAAGAUGCCAUUUUCCUUCAGUAGAUGUAGAGGUUUCUUUCCUCAUAAUCCUUGCAUUGUUUGGACACAAUCCUCUUCUGUACGCUUAUGUUUUUCCAUUGCUAGGUGAUUUUUUUCAAUUGCUGGUGAAUGCGUGGCCCUUUUGUUAUCCAUAUUCAGUGUCAAUUCUGUGGUAUUUAAUCAUGUCAAAACGCGAAGUGCUUCGAUUGAAAAACAUUUUCAGUGGACAUCAGUAAUUGAUUUCCUUUUUUGUUGUGAAUUUUGGAGGCUUGCAGAUCAAAGUAGCUUCUAAAACUUUGAUACAGGAGAGAGAGAGAGAGAGAGCACCUUUUCAAGCAUGCAUUGCAAUAUAUUUGCUACCCUCUUGCUAAUAGCUUGCAGUAGGUGAAAAGGCAGUACAGGUAAUCCGGAAUGCAAUUGAAGAAAGAAACGUGGAGAGAGGUAACAGCAGACACAUGUUGCCUUUUAUCCCCUAUGAAGUGUUGAUUCC
Molecule: long non-coding RNA, 1353 nt
Filed under: Struthio camelus australis
Lineage: Eukaryota; Metazoa; Chordata; Aves; Struthioniformes; Struthionidae
Description: lncRNA (ENSSCUG00000017205.1)
Source: RNAcentral